UUAGCUCAGGUGCCAAUCUUUAAAAAAAAGAAAAAGAGGUGAGUGAACAGUGCCUGUUGCUACCCUGCAGCAGGCUGCCUGACCCUGGCAGGGAGAGGAACUAUUCUGAAUGAGUGAGAGCCAUGGGGUGAGGACACAGGAGGGGGCCUCAUGACCAGCUGGCUGGCCUUCCAGAGGGACCCACUCAGGUCUCACCGGCACCUGGGUAAAAAAUGGGUGGAGGUAUGGGGACCACCUGGUCCUGAUCCUUUGACAUAUCCCCUCCCUGGGAAACCUCACUAAAUACAUUCUGGCCAGUCUUCACCCACCCGUGACCCCACCAUCCUGCUGAGAUCCAUAGCCGAGGGGCCCAGCACUCUUGGCUCCAGCCCCACUAUGGCCCCAUCUCCAGCCUCCGUCUCUACAGAGCGGGAAACACCACAUCCCAGCUGUCUGUCCCAAAUCCACCUGGAGGCCAGCCAGCUUGGCAGAAGCACAUCUUAGUGAGGCCAGACCCAGGAGACACUGCUGGGAAGAGGCAAGGACUAGAAGGAAGCAGCUGGGCCAACGUCGGGCCCCUUUAUGGGCCCUACCCUGCAGGGUUCCCCCUGGCACAUCCAUGCACUUACUUGCCCAUUGCUCCGUCUUCUGAGCCCCUGGUCCCCUGGGCUGCAGGCUCUAGGCCUUUCCGUGCAGUCCUGAAGAGAUGCAGGUUGCCAUGACAGCUGCGGUUGGACUCCACCCUGAUCGCCAAAGGCCUGGAGGCCAGCCUGGAGCACCACUUGGGACAGAGUGAAUCUUGUUGUGAACCCAGAGUCCCAUCUUGCGGACUUGAAAGCUUGUCAACAGACUUACGCAGAGACCCUCACUCUGAGAACAACUCCCUCCUUCUUCCUGGCCCUCCCAGCCUCCCACAGCCAGCAGCUUGCAUCAGCAGCAACAGCUGCACAGCGCUUGGGGCAGCCUGGGGCCACCACCGCCACUGUGGAAGGUGAAAGGAGAGAGAAGAGCCAGAGAAACCCAGAGUCAGGGCAUCACAGAGCAGGAUAGAGACAGCCGGAGGACACAGCAUCUGAGAGACAGUCCCCAUGGACACCUGCUCAGGGGGAAGGAGACACAGGAGAGAAUGACAAGACAAAGGCCCAGGAGAGAAGAUGACAUGAGUUAUCCAUAAUGCCCUGUGGGGCUUGCCGCUGGAGGGUCUGCUCCCCGAACAUUGCACCAACCUUGACCCUGGGCACUCGAAUGUUCGUUUUUCUGUGCCACUGGUUCUCAAAGAAUGGACAGCAUUGAGAUGAUCUGGGGCACAUUCGAGAUGAUUUUAGUUAGCCUUUAAUAACAUUGAAUUAUGGAGUGAGAAAAUUGUCCCCCUUCUCUAUCCUCUUUCCAUCCUUGUAAUGAGUCAAGGAAAAAGCCUCAGUCAGGGGCUAAUGUGUCUCUAACACCUCAUUAACACUUGCUCCUAACGCGUGUCCUUUUUUAGAAAAAGAGAGCAGCCCUCAGGCGCAGAGUCUUCACCAGCAACAUUCAGCUAUAAUUUAAUUGAUCUUCACAGUUACCUUUCUAUUUAAAGUAGUGAUAUAAAAUUUCCUUUACAAAUUUUUUUGAGUAAAACGAAAAAAAAUUCAAUCUAAACAAAUAAAUAAUAGCAUCAGUGGUAUUUGGAUAUGGUGCACACCAUGAAUGUGACACAGGGUUAUGGAAGAGUUUUGGUCCCUGGAAAAAUGCAGACACCCCUGGAAGGAGUGAUCCCUCCGAUUGGCUCUCCUGGGAACCCCCACCCAUCGCUGCUUACACCAGCUCUUGGUCUUGGGGUGACUCCUCAGCUUUUCUUCCUUGUUCUGCCGUGUUUUGAGCAUCUCAGGGGCUGAGAGUGUGGCUUAGGCCUUAGAAUCUCCCCCAGCACAGGGCCUGGAGCAGGACAAAUGUCAUCCAAAAAGUGCUCAGAGACCUGAGGUCAGAGGUCAGGCUCCACGUGAUGGCAUAUCCUAUUUGCCAUAUCCAAAUACCAACCAGGAGCCUGGAAACUGAGCUCUGUUCUCAAGCCCCAUGUUGGCCAGCGGUGUGGCCCUGGACAAGUCCCGAGUGUCUUUGAAUCUCCAUCUCCUCAUUUGACUGCCUCAGGGGUGUUUUCAGCACACUGAGUAUGUGAAAGGAGUUUGACAUCAAUAAAUCUCCAUAAGGGAUUAUUAAUAUUCUUAUUGGUUGAAUCACAAAUCCAGUGUCACUCAAAACCUUUUGGGUGCAGACAACAAGUGAAGAUGAGGUAGGAAGACAAGAGGGGGUGAUAAGAUGGGGUGAGAGGCAGGAGGGCUGGAAGGGAGGAUGCCAAGGACUGGACCCCUCCCUCACAACCUGGGCUAGGUUUGGGAGGACCUGGAAACUGCCCUCUGCAACUUCAGGCACAGGCCUCCCCCGCCACUGGGCCUCCCCAGGGAUGUCCAGCACAAAAAACCUGGUCUUUGGAGCCACGUGACUAGUGUUCAAGUUCCAGCUUGGCCACUUACUGGCUGGGUGACCUGAGGCAAAUUACUUAACCUGUCUGUGCCUCACCAUUCUCACGGAUAAAAUGGGGCCGAUGCCAACUCUGAGGGCUGUUGUGAGGAUGAAGCGAGAUCAAACACAUGUACACACGAGACCUGACACUCAGUAAGUGCUCAGUAAGCGUGGAUUUCGGGAAACUCCUGCAGGUUCCUGGAAGAAAGAUAUGGAAGUGAUUCAAGGUAGAUGAUGCUAUCUGGAGCACUUGAUUUGUAAUCUGGGAGAAUUGGACCCCUUCCCCCAAAGCUUUCCUCACCUAAAGCUAGAGCUGGAAAGUUAGAGAGUGAA
Molecule: long non-coding RNA, 2808 nt
Organism: Equus caballus (horse)
Lineage: Eukaryota; Metazoa; Chordata; Mammalia; Perissodactyla; Equidae
Source: RefSeq, a predicted model, not a curated record